UGGGGAAUUUUGGACAAUGGGCGCAAGCCUGAUCCAGCCAUGCCGCGUGCGGGAAGAAGGCCUUCGGGUUGUAAACCGCUUUUGUCAGGGAAGAAAUCUUCUGAGUUAAUACCUCGGGAGGAUGACGGUACCUGAAGAAUAAGCACCGGCUAACUACGUGCCAGCAGCCGCGGUAAUACGUAGGGUGCAAGCGUUAAUCGGAAUACUGGGCGUAAAGCGUGCGCAGGCGGUUUUGUAAGACAGAGGUGAAAUCCCCGGGCUCAACCUGGGAACUGCCUUUGUGAUUGCAAGGCUUGAGUGCGGCAGAGGGGGGAUGGAAUUCCGCGUGUAGCAGUGAAAUGCGUAGAUAUGCGGAGGAACACCGAUGGCGAAGGCAAUCCCCUGGGCCUGCACUGACGCUCAUGCACGAAAGCGUGGGGAGCAAACAGGAUUAGAUACCCUGGUAGUCCACGCCCUAAACGAUGUCAACUGGUUGUUGGGAAGGUUCCUUCUCAGUAACGUAGCUAACGCGUGAAGUUGACCGCCUGGGGAGUACGGCCGCAAGGUUGAAACUUAAAGGGGAUUGACGGGGUCAUAGCUGUUUCC
Molecule: ribosomal RNA, 585 nt
Filed under: uncultured bacterium
Lineage: Bacteria
Description: partial 16S ribosomal RNA
Rfam family: Bacterial small subunit ribosomal RNA
Source: RNAcentral